UGGGGAAUAUUGGACAAUGGGCGCAAGCCUGAUCCAGCCAUGCCGCGUGAGUGACGAAGGUCUUCGGAUUGUAAAGCUCUUUUUGGCGGGGACGAUAAUGACGGUACCCGCAGAAUAAGCCCCGGCUAACUUCGUGCCAGCAGCCGCGGUAAUACGAAGGGGGCUAGCGUUGUUCGGAAUUACUGGGCGUAAAGCGCACGUAGGCGGGCUGAUAAGUCAGGGGUGAAAUCCCGGGGCUCAACCUCGGAACUGCCUUUGAUACUGUUAGUCUCGAGUCCGGAAGAGGUGAGUGGAAUUCCUAGUGUAGAGGUGAAAUUCGUAGAUAUUAGGAAGAACACCAGUGGCGAAGGCGGCUCACUGGUCCGGUACUGACGCUGAGGUGCGAAAGCGUGGGGAGCAAACAGGAUUAGAUACCCUCGUAGUCCCUGAG
Molecule: ribosomal RNA, 430 nt
Filed under: uncultured bacterium
Lineage: Bacteria
Description: bacterial SSU rRNA
Rfam family: Bacterial small subunit ribosomal RNA
Source: RNAcentral